This is a non-coding RNA of Drosophila suzukii, 1830 nucleotides long. NCBI's taxonomy places the organism in Eukaryota, Metazoa, Arthropoda, Insecta, Diptera, Drosophilidae. The record is from RefSeq and is a predicted model, not a curated record.
GUUAGUCCGGUUGUGUUCUGCUCGUUUCAAAGAAAAACCUACUUUUUGUGAGUAUCAAAGGCUCUAUGAAAAAGUGUGUGACAUACAGUAGAAUACUGCUUAUAAGUGUUUGUUUCUUCUUUUAAUUGUGAAGAAAAAGGAAAAUUACUUUCAUUAGAAGAGGUGUAUUUUGUAAAAUUCUGGGGAGUUUGGCCAUACAACCACCUGUCAAGCUCACUGUCAGUCCUUGUAGGACCACCUUCUGUGGUUCCAAGUCUGAGACAUUCAGAGUGAAGUACGAGUCUAUGUACUAUCACAUCCUGAAGCUCCUUGCAAAACGCGACCUGUGGUCCUGUAUCAACAACGCCAUAUCAAAACCUCUCGGAUAACCUAACCGGAGGAUAAAAUACCCACAUUUUUUGGCAUCACUACCUUAAGAAGAACAUUCGGAAGGAAUAACUUCAAUCAUCACGACAUUGAGAAUAUUCACGAUUAAUAUCGAUAGCAGCUGAGUCUACGUGGGUGAAUCGCGCAUGCACCUUCAAACCACUAGAACCUGGUCUAUGCGGCAGUGUUGUUGCGACCAACAGCCCUAUCAUCCAUGAGAUGAUUUAAAACCCAAAAAAAACAUUUAAUUUGACGGAAAAAUGGGUUCAUUUUGGUGGCUAUCGUUGACUUAGCCAAGUGCUCCCACCCAACCAAGGCUGCACGUGGAAUUCGGGUGGGUCAUCACCCAUUCUCAGUCGGCCGUAUGCGCUCCUCACGACUACGACGGUUCCAUCUCCCCCACAGGGACAAAUCAAUCACACAUUUCGGGUUUUACAGACAUUUAAUGAACAUGCCUUCAAGACCAAAACUUGAUCGUCGUCUUUAAUAUUUACCCAGUCAAAGCUGAGGAUGCGUUUCCUGGAAAAGGCUACAGGCGCUGCGGGAGGUUAUCCUCUACCAGCCAGGUGUUGGUAGAGCUCGCAUGGAAUGCGCGCGUUUCGGGUCACAUAAUCCUGAGGAGCUCCUGAGAAAAGAAGGGACAGGCCAAACGGCAAAUGCUCUCGGGUCUAAUUCAGGAUACAUUUACAAUUAAACGAAGGAAGUAUAUAUAGUAAAGAAGAUAAACUAACUAAAGAUUAAAUAAAAAAAGGAAAGCUAAGGCACAACGGUGAGUUGCGCAAGACCAGUCCAGGGUUCGGCCGCCCGACACAUUGGCGGUACCUCUCAACGCUGCGAUACGACGGCUUGAAGCUCCCAAGAUGAGGUGGACGUAACAGUCUGAAACGGACUCACCGGAAAAUGCUGGAUGGCGUCGGUGUCGACUAAGAUAGGCGGUUAUAGCUGGACUUCUAAGCGGGUCAAACGGACACCGGAUGCCGGCAGCCAAUUCCUGAUUUGUAUGUAGGGCGAAAUCGCGCAUAAGUCCGUGGAACUCCCAAAUACAUAUCACAGGGCCCUUUUUGUUUAAACCCCGGCUGCCCUACGGAUGCUUUUUUAUAAAUAAAAGAACUAACAUGUUAAAUUUCCUAACACUCGCUUUUAUUGAGUUUUAGGCACAAACACUUAUCUUGGAACCUCACGCUGCGUCUGCCUGCUUAGACAAUAUGGUUGCGUCUAUAGAAAUACCUGCCUAUCAUCAUCGGUCCUUCCCCGCCAUAUUGCAUAGCCUCUCCCAAAAUUGGGUCAUUGGACACAUGAGUGUUAUUUAAGGUAAUAUCAGAGCGAACCGGGAUUAACCCUUAAAUGGCCAGAUCGCCCGCCAGAUUCGUCCUGCUGCUGCAACUAUCGCCCAAUCGUCCUAACCUAACGAUAGAGUCCCUCCCAUUAUCGACACCAAUUGCAACAACUCCACUGGUGUGAGAU